CAGCAGCCGCGGGAAUACGAAGGGGGCUAGCGUUGUUCGGAAUUACUGGGCGUAAAGCGCACGUAGGCGGAUCGAUCAGUCAGGGGUGAAAUCCCAGGGCUCAACCCUGGAACUGCCUUUGAUACUGUCGAUCUGGAGUAUGGAAGAGGUGAGUGGAAUUCCGAGUGUAGAGGUGAAAUUCGUAGAUAUUCGGAGGAACACCAGUGGCGAAGGCGGCUCACUGGUCCAUUACUGACGCUGAGGUGCGAAAGCGUGGGGAGCAAACAGGAUUAGAUACCCCCGUAGUCCUGUCUCUUAUACA
RNAcentral lists this ribosomal RNA (301 nucleotides) under uncultured bacterium. RNAcentral describes it as "partial 16S ribosomal RNA". It matches the Rfam family "Bacterial small subunit ribosomal RNA", at positions 509 to 809 of the family's 1533-position model. The record is from RNAcentral.